Molecule: ribosomal RNA, 433 nt
Filed under: uncultured bacterium
Lineage: Bacteria
Description: partial 16S ribosomal RNA
Rfam family: Bacterial small subunit ribosomal RNA
Source: RNAcentral
AACGAACGCUGGCGGCAUGCCUAACACAUGCCAGUCGAACGAGACCUUCGGGUCUAGUGGCGCACGGGUGCGUAACGCGUGGGAACCUGCCCUUAGGUUCGGAAUAACUCCCCGAAAGGGGUGCUAAUACCGGAUAAUGUCUUCGGACCAAAGAUUUAUCGCCUUUGGAUGGGCCCGCGUUGGAUUAGCUAGUUGGUAGGGUAAAAGCCUACCAAGGCGACGAUCCAUAGCUGGUCUGAGAGGCUGAUCAGCCACACUGGGACUGAGACACGGCCCAGACUCCUACGGGAGGCAGCAGUGGGGAAUAUUGGACAAUGGGCGAAAGCCUGAUCCAGCAAUGCCGCGUGAGUGAUGAAGGCCUUAGGGUUGUAAAGCUCUUUUACCCGGGAUGAUAAUGACAGUACCGGGAGAAUAAGCUCCGGCUAACUACGUG